GGAGUCUGGGCCGUAUCUCAGUCCCAAUGUGGCCGUUCGACCUCUCAGUCCGGCUACUGAUCGUUGACUUGGUAGGCCGUUACCCCACCAACUAUCUAAUCAGACGCGAGCCCAUCUGUUAGCGGAUUACUCCUUUCCCACUAUAACCAUGUGGUUACUAUGGCAUAUGCGGUAUUAGCAAUGAUUUCUUCACUGUUAUUCCCCUCCUAACAGGCAGGUUGCUCACGCGUUACUCACCAGUCCGCCACUAAAGCCAUUGUUGUAAGUCAAUUUCCACUUUCUUCGAACAAGUUCUCUGUCCGCGUCCACAUCAUUACAACGACUUCCGUUCGACUUGCAUGUCUUAUGUGCGCCGCCAGCGUUUAUC
This 367-nucleotide ribosomal RNA is filed under the name uncultured Oscillospiraceae bacterium. RNAcentral's name for it is "partial 16S ribosomal RNA". Lineage: Bacteria; Bacillati; Bacillota; Clostridia; Eubacteriales; Oscillospiraceae. The record is from RNAcentral.